RNAcentral lists this ribosomal RNA (301 nucleotides) under uncultured bacterium. RNAcentral's name for it is "partial 16S ribosomal RNA". It matches the Rfam family "Archaeal small subunit ribosomal RNA", at positions 459 to 759 of the family's 1478-position model. The record is from RNAcentral.
CAGCCGCCACGGGAAUACCAGCAGCCCAAGUGGUGGUCGCGAUUAUUGGGCCUAAAGCGCUCGUAGCCGGGCCGGUAAGUCCCUUGUGAAAUCGGACGGCCUAACCGUUCGGCGUGCAAGGGAUACCGUCGGUCUUGAGGCCGGGAGACGUCCGAGGUACUCCGGGGGUAGCGGUGAAAUGUUCUGAUCCUCGGGGGACCACCGGUGGCGAAGGCGUUCGACGAGAACGGGCCUGACGGUGAGGGGCGAAGGCUAGGGGAGCAAACGGGAUUAGAUACCCGCGUAGUCCCUGUCUCUUAUU